AGAGUUUGAUCCUGGCUCAGGAUGAACGCUAGCGGUGCGCCUAACACAUGCAAGUCGAAUGUGCUUUUGUACAUGGCAAACGGGUGAGUAACACGUUGGUACCUACCCCAAACUCGGGGAUAACCCACCGAAAGGUGGAAUAAUACCGGAUAGUCUCCAUCUCUGAUGGAGUAAAGAUUUAUCGGUUUGGGAGGGACCUGCGGUCUAUCAGCUUGUUGGUAGGGUAACGGCCUACCAAGGCUAUGACGGAUAGCUGGUGUGAGAGCAUGACCAGCCACAAUGGGACUGAGACACGGCCCAUACUCCUACGGGAGGCAGCAGUGAGGAAUCUUCCGCAAUGGGCGAAGGCCUGACGGAGCGACACCGCGUGGGGGAUGAAGGCCUUACGGUCGUAAACUCCUUUUCUGGGGGAACAAGUUUCUGAGCGUACCCCAGGAAUAAGCACCUGCUAACUACGUGCCAGCAGCCGCGGUAAUACGUAGGGUGCAAGUGUUAUCCGAAAUUACUGGGCGUAAAGCGUCUGUAGGUGGUGAUAUAAGUCAGAUGUUAAAAUCCAGUGCCCAACAUUGGAACUGUAUCUGAAACUAUAUCGCUAGAGAUUGGUAGAGGUGAGUGGAAUUCCGUGUGUAGGGGUAAUAUCCGUAGAUACACGGAGGAACACCAAACGCGAAAGCAUCUCACUGGACCAAUUCUGACACUGAGAGACGAAAGCGUGGGGAGCGAAAAGGAUUAGAUACCCUUGUAGUCCACGCCCUAAACGAUGGAUACUUGGUUUUGGAGGAUUCGACCCCUUCAGAGCCGUAGCUAACGUGUUAAGUAUCCCGCCUGGGAAGUACGGUCGCAAGAUUAAAACUCAAAGGAAUAGACGGGGACCCACACAAGCGGUGGAGCAUGUGGUUUAAUUCGACAAUAAGCGAGGAACCUUACCUGGACUUGACAUCCCGAGAAUCUUCUAGAAAUAGGAGAGUGCCGCAAGGAGCUCGGUGACAGGUGCUGCAUGGUCGUCGUCAGCUCGUGCCUUGAGGUGUUCGGUUAAGUCCGUAAACGAGCGCAACCCUUGUCUCAUGUUGUAUUUUUCAUGAGAAACUGCCGUCUUAAAGUCGGAGGAAGGCAAGGAUGACGUCAGAUCAGCAUGGCUCUUACGUCCAGGGCUACACACGUGCUACAAUGGCCGGUACAAUGAGCAGCAAACCCGUAAGGGGAAGCCAAUCUCAUCAAAGCCGGUCUCAGUUCGGAUUGAGGGCUGCAACUCGCCCUCAUGAAGUUGGAAUCGCUAGUAACCGCGUAUCAGCAAUGGCGCGGUGAAUAUGUUCCUGGUCUUGUACUCACCGCCCGUCACGUCACGGAAGCUGGAGGCAUCCGAAGUCACAUUAUCCUUUGCAUUUAUGUACUGGAGUGUGCCUAAGAUGAAAUCAGUGACUGGGACGAAGUCGUAACAAGGU
This 1442-nucleotide ribosomal RNA is filed under the name metagenome. RNAcentral describes it as "bacterial SSU rRNA". It matches the Rfam family "Bacterial small subunit ribosomal RNA". The record is from RNAcentral.